UCCUACGGGAGGCAGCAGUGGGGAAUUUUGCGCAAUGGGCGAAAGCCUGACGCAGCGACGCCGCGUGAGUGAUGAAGGCCUUCGGGUCGUAAAGCUCUGUCGGAGGGGAAGAAAUGUACGGGUGCGAAUACCACCUGUACUUGACGGUACCCUCAAAGGAAGCACCGGCUAACUCCGUGCCAGCAGCCGCGGUA
Molecule: ribosomal RNA, 194 nt
Filed under: uncultured Geobacter sp.
Lineage: Bacteria; Pseudomonadati; Thermodesulfobacteriota; Desulfuromonadia; Geobacterales; Geobacteraceae
Description: partial 16S ribosomal RNA
Rfam family: Bacterial small subunit ribosomal RNA
Source: RNAcentral